Molecule: long non-coding RNA, 1393 nt
Filed under: Marmota monax (woodchuck)
Lineage: Eukaryota; Metazoa; Chordata; Mammalia; Rodentia; Sciuridae
Source: RNAcentral
AAAGUAAAGAUAUUGUGUCUACCUAAAACUAAAAAUUAAAUAUUAAAAAAAAUAUAUAUAUAUAUAUACAUAUGUGUGUGUGUGUGUAUAUAUAUAUAUAUAUAUAUAUAUAUAGAGAGAGAGAGAGAGAGAGAGAGAGAGAGAGCGUGCGCUUGCCCGUGCGCGCUCUAAGGGUACAACUUAGUACUUUAGCACCCCUCAGUUCAAUCCCUGAUACCAAAAAAAGAAAUACAAAUGGCCAACAAAUAAAUGAAAAAAUGUUCAACAUCCUUAGCGAUCAGGAAAAUGUAAACCAAAACUAUAUUGAGAUUUCAUCUCACUCCAGUUAUAAUGGCAAUUAUCAAGAAUAAAUAACAGGGCUGGGUUUGUGGCUCAUCGGUAGAGCGCUCACCUAGCACGGGCAAGGCCCUGGGUUCGAUCCUCAGCACCACACAAAAUAAAUAAAUUAAUUAAAGAUAUUGUAUCCAACUACAACUAAAAAAUAAAUAUUAAAAAAAGAAUAAAAUAACAAUAAUUGGUGAGGAUGUGGGGGAAAAGGUACACCUACACAUUGUUGGUGGGACAGAAAAUUAGUAUAACCAUUUUGGAAAGCAAUACCGAGAUUCCUCAAAAGGCUACUAGGAAUGGUUAUGUGCAGUGGUACAUGCCUGUAAUGUCAGCAGUAUGGGAGGCUCGGGUAGGAGGAUCCCAAGUUCCUCAAGCCCAGCCUCAGCAGUUUAGAAAGCCCAUUAGCAAUUUAGUGAGACCAUAUCUCAAAAUAAAGAAAUAAAAAGGGCUGGGAAUGUAGCUCAUUGAUACAGCACCCCUGGGCUCAAUCCCCAGCACUGCCCCAAAAAUAAAUAAAAUUACCAUACUAUAGGGAUAUAUACAUACCAAUGUUUAUAGCAGCACAAUUCACAAUAGCCAAGUUAUUAAACCAGCCUAGGUCAACAGACUAGUGGCUAAGAAAAUGUGGCAUAUAUACACAAUAGAGUUUUAUUCAGUCAUAAAGAAUGAAAUUAUGUCAUUUGAAUGUAAAUGGAUGGAACUAGAGAAACUCAUGCCAAAUGAAAUAAGUCAGAAUGAGAAAGUCAUUUGCAGGAGCUAGGGAAAGGUGGGGGAUGGCUGGGGUUGUGGCUCAGUGGCAAAGCGCUUGCCUAGCAUGUGUGAGGCACUGGGUUCAAUUCUCAGCACCACAUAAAAAUAAACAAAGGUCCAUUGACAACUAAAAACAUUUAAAAAAGAAAAAGGUGAGGGAAGGAAUAAUAAAAAAGGGAAUUUCACAAAAAUAGAAGGAAGACCAAUAGAGUAAAGGAAGGGGACUGAGAGGGAUGGAGGAAAGAAGGACAUGGGGAAGUAUGGGGAAUGAAAUCUAGCAAAUUAUGCCAUAUCCAUGUUCCACAGGGAAUCAUAU